RNA transcript from Culex pipiens pallens (northern house mosquito), 1423 nucleotides. It is a transcript of the gene named troponin C, isoallergen Bla g 6.0101-like, with no coding region annotated. The transcript is spliced from 7 exons. NCBI's taxonomy places the organism in Eukaryota, Metazoa, Arthropoda, Insecta, Diptera, Culicidae. The record is from RefSeq and is a predicted model, not a curated record.
CAGCUAACUGAACCCCCAGCAUCAUCACUUUGGCAAUCAAUUGUAAUUCGGCGAAUCGCGCGAGGAGGAAGCACGAAGAUCGUCCCGAACCGGCUGAAACUUGACAAAAGGCGGCACCGCCAGCGCACGGACGAGCAAUUGCAGCGAUCAAUUGCAGUGAGAAGAGUGAGUGAGUGAAGAGGGGUCAAGAAGAGUGAAGAAGUGAUUGAUCGUGAGCGUGAUAUUCGUGGGAUUAUUAAUUGUUAUUUUUCGAGAGCCAAGCGCCGUACAUCAAGCUACUAAUUCAUCAUGGAAAAGUCGCAUCAAAAAGUUCUUGAAACGGAUCUGAGCAAAGACCAGCUGAAAGUGCUGAAAGAGGCGUUCAAUGCGUUCGACAAGGACAAGACCGGCCACAUUCCGACGGACGUCGUCGGCACCAUCCUGGAGCUGCUCGGCCACAAGCUGUCGGAGGAGGAGCUGGAGGAGGUGAUCGACGAGUACGACGAGGACGAGUCCGGCCAGAUCGAGUUCAACGAGUUCGUGGAGCUGGCCUCGAACUACGUCGAGCCGGAGGAAGACUACGACGCGUUACGGAAGGAGCUGCGCGAGGUCUUCAUGAUGUACGACAAGGACGCCAAGGGUUACAUCCCACUCGAUACAUUCAAGCAGAUCCUCCGGGAGCUGGACGGCGCGGUGCCCGAGGAAGAGCUGGACGACAUCGUGGACGAGAUUGACGCUGACGGUUCCGGAACAGUAGACUUUGAAGAAUUCAUGGAGGUUAUGACAGGUGAAUGAUAAUUUCCCCAACUUCAACAAGCAAUAUCUACCUCCCUUUCGCUCUAUCUCUCGCAAAAAAAAAAAACGCAAGCUUCGCCGCGAGCUUUUUGCAGCAAAAUUCUUUAUUUUUUCCCACCUUCUGCUAACAACAACAACAACAACUUGAGCAACAGCAACAACUGCAAAAAAAGAAGAGCAAAUUUCGAAAGAGAGAUUACGGAAAUUUCGUUUUUCGCUAGCACAUGUGGAUACUAGCCCUCCCGAGGCGCCUCCCGUUUACCUCUCGUCUGACGCUUUUCCAAUUAUUGUUUCUUUACCGGUGUUUUUUCUAGGUUAAGCUGAAAAUUUGCUCUUCUAAACCAAAAAAAAAAAAAAAAAAAAACGCACCGCCGUUAACCGCGAAACUAAGUUAUGUUUUAAACAAUUACAUUUAAAAAAAAUCAAACAGCCACGUUCUAGGGAGGUAUAAAAAGUUUCAACUUGUUCACUUGUUAAGGUAGCGCGCCCAACGGCCCAUGUCACACAGAAGGUAACCCCGGCUGCGUUCAAAGUUGCGGCAGCGAAAUCAUCCUCCAUUUUUAAGUUUUCUUUUUCCUUUCAUCACUAGUUUUAACUGUUACGAAAUAAAGAAUUAAAUAUAAACAAUAAUAAAAAACAAAAGUCAUAA